UACGAAGGGGGCUAGCGUUGCUCGGAAUUACUGGGCGUAAAGCGCACGUAGGCGGCUUUCUAAGUCGGGGGUGAAAUCCUGGAGCUCAACUCCAGAACUGCCUUCGAUACUGGAGAGCUUGAGUCCGAGAGAGGUGAGUGGAACUGCGAGUGUAGAGGUGAAAUUCGUAGAUAUUCGCAAGAACACCAGUGGCGAAGGCGGCUCACUGGCCCGGUACUGACGCUGAGGUGCGAAAGCGUGGGGAGCAAACAGG
This 253-nucleotide ribosomal RNA is filed under the name uncultured bacterium. Its description in RNAcentral is "partial 16S ribosomal RNA". It matches the Rfam family "Bacterial small subunit ribosomal RNA", at positions 524 to 776 of the family's 1533-position model. The record is from RNAcentral.